Molecule: long non-coding RNA, 725 nt
Filed under: Ricinus communis (castor bean)
Lineage: Eukaryota; Viridiplantae; Streptophyta; Magnoliopsida; Malpighiales; Euphorbiaceae
Description: long non-coding RNA (RCOM_LNC002206)
Source: RNAcentral
GCAUUAAUUUUUUGCCAGCCCUUUUCAAAAGCAAGACCAAUUCAUUUGCUAUCAAAUUUAUAAACUGUGAACAUAAUUCAAACUCUCAGAAAAUCUCACAAAAAGAAAUGGUUAAAAGAACAUCAAUGGCUACAAUACUACUCACGGUCCUUCUGUUCAUCACCUUAACUCAUUCUUCCUUGGUGCACUCACGCGAACUGGCUCACUCCGAUCACUCGCCAUCACCAGCUCCAGUAAGUUCGUCCCUGCAACUUUUUUUUUUACUUCAGUUUCUUUUGCAUGAUUAUGGACUAUCUUUUAUAAAAGAGAAAAAUAUAGUAAUUAACUUGCCUUAGAUGGUUGGUGGGGAGAUUGCCAAAAGAAGAGGUGAUGGAAGGGCAAAGAAAGGGUCAUUUCCUGCUAGAUGCCAUUCAAAGUGCAACCAGUGCAACCCUUGCUUGCCAGUUGAAGUAUCUAUCCGAUCAAUGGAGUUGAAAGAAAAGGAAUACUACUAUCCUCAAGUUUGGAAAUGCAUGUGUGGGGAUGACAUAUUCUCUCCCUAGUGAUUUCAGAAGAACAAAUUUCUCGAUUCAAUUCAAACGAGCCCUUAAAUUAAUCCGUUUUAUCUGACUAAAAUUUAAACUCGAAAUCUCACAGCUCUAAAGACUAUUCCAAAACCAACUGAGCUACAUCCAAACUGAUAUUUCUUCAAUUCUUUUAAGCUAUAUGUUGAUAUUUGAUUUACU